AUUGAACGCUGGCGGCAGGCCUAACACAUGCAAGUCGAGCGGCUGCACGGUGCUUGCUCCUGGAUUCAGCGGCCGACGGGCGAGCAAUGCCUAGGUACAUGCCUGGUAGUGUGGGAUAACGUCCGGACACAGGCGCUCAUACCGCAUACGUCCUGAGGGCGUACGUGUGGGAUCAUCGGACCUUCCGCCCUCAGAUGAGCGGAGGUCGGAUUAGCUAGUUGGUGGGGUAAAGGCCUACCAAGGCGACGAUCCGUAACUGGUCUGAGAGGAUGAUCAGUCACACUGGAACUGAGACACGGUCCAGACUCCUACGGGAGGCAGCAGUGGGGAAUAUUGGACAAUGGGCGAAAGCCUGAUCCAGCCAUGCCGCGUGUGUGAAGAAGGUCUUCGGAUUGUAAAGCACUUUAGUUGGGGAGGAAGAGCAGUAAGUUAAUACCUUGCUGUUUUGACGGUACCAACAGAAUAAGCACCGGCUAACUUCGUG
RNAcentral lists this ribosomal RNA (484 nucleotides) under uncultured bacterium. RNAcentral's name for it is "partial 16S ribosomal RNA". It matches the Rfam family "Bacterial small subunit ribosomal RNA", at positions 30 to 507 of the family's 1533-position model. The record is from RNAcentral.